This 155-nucleotide ribosomal RNA is filed under the name Dolichospermum sp. LEGE 00246. RNAcentral describes it as "partial 23S ribosomal RNA". It matches the Rfam family "Bacterial large subunit ribosomal RNA", at positions 961 to 1126 of the family's 2925-position model. The record is from RNAcentral. Lineage: Bacteria; Bacillati; Cyanobacteriota; Cyanophyceae; Nostocales; Aphanizomenonaceae.
UCCCCCCGAUGCUUUGGGGAGAAACCGGAAGCUUCAUUGUCAAGAGGGAAACAGCCCAGACCACCAGCUAAGGUCCCCAAAUCAUCACUAAGUGAUAAAGGAGGUGAGAUUGCCUAGACAACUAGGAGGUUUGCCUAGAAGCAGCCACCCUUGAA